UGCCCUGGCAAUGGGCAAAGAGAUACCUUGUUGGUGUUGUUCUUAUAUCAGUCAGGGGCAGGGCAGAUGGUGUCCGGUGUUCAUCCUAGUUUGAUGCCUGGCUUGGUGGCCAAAGCUAUUUUAUGUUCAGGACACACGA
Rattus rattus (black rat) is the source of this 139-nucleotide small nucleolar RNA. RefSeq annotates it as small nucleolar RNA SNORA48. The record is from RefSeq and is a predicted model, not a curated record. The transcript has a single exon. NCBI's taxonomy places the organism in Eukaryota, Metazoa, Chordata, Mammalia, Rodentia, Muridae.